Molecule: RNA transcript, 8249 nt
Organism: Osmia bicornis bicornis
Lineage: Eukaryota; Metazoa; Arthropoda; Insecta; Hymenoptera; Megachilidae
Gene name: adenylate cyclase type 6-like
Exons: 23
Source: RefSeq, a predicted model, not a curated record
AAGCCCUGCGCACAGGACGCGUGUUGGAAGUCGUGCGGAAACGCGUCGGGAAUCGCGGCUUCAGUCUGCGCGCGGCACUCGCUCGAGAAGCGUCGCGUUCCUCCUCCCCGGGACCGGGUCUCUAUUCUUCUGGCCGCGAUUACGAUUAAUUGAUGACAAACUUGUCCUGGGGAAUUCUUCAUCGGCUGGAAGUCUGAAAAAUUGAAAGGACAGCAUCAGCAGAAUUCUUCCAGUGAUAUUGUGAAAAGGGAUAAUUAAAUUAAUAUACCUGUUUAAUUAGACCGUUAAUAGAGAGAUUCUUCUUUUGCAAAAGUUGGAGGAGUCCCUGAAGAAUUCCAGAGGGACAGGAAGUGGAAGAGGAAGCCGAUGGUCACCGGUUGGUCGAGGCUCGAUUCGCUGAAUCAGAGGGAACAACGGCUCGGAUAGUCGUGAUAAAUGGAAGACGUGGCUCGUCGUUGCUCGUUUAUCCCUAAUUGCGAGACUACCAUGCUCGUCGUGCAAUUGGACCCUUUGUUCCAGCUAUGCGUGCCGGACGAUGAUUCGCUUUCGUCCAUGGAAUCUUGAUUUUCGCGUGUCUCCUCCACACUGUUCGCAAUUGUGCGCUUAUGGGAUACAAUAUACCCUUCUAAUGGCAUAAACAUUACCCGAAAUCUCAACCUUCUCUUUGCUAUAACGAGAAUAAUCGAGCCUGAACAUUACUGGAUAAAUAGUGCUUCAAAUUCAGUGUAAUUGAACUGUAGUAUCAUUUUUGUUCCUUAAAACUCAUAAUUUGUGGUAAAUGAAGUGAUUAGGAUCCAGCAAUAUUUAACUCCCAUGUGUAAAUUUGUACUUAAAUUAAUUGGAUUCCAAUACAGAAACAGUGAAAUAUCAAAUUAAACUGAAACGAUAUAAUCGGCUAUUAUUGGAUUUCAACGUGAUUUGUAAUUACCAUGUUUAUAUUUAAUCGAGUUCCAAGGAAGCAAGCAGUGUCCAGCCUGAUUUAUGAUGGUCCCCGAUAUACUGCCCACCAUGUGAUUUAUGAUAGUAAUGUUGUCCAUAAUUGAAUGCUACAGGUCCUCCAUAUGAAUAACAACAGCAUAAAUAUUGUCUGCAACAUUAACUGGGAACUUAAUGAAUUGAAUCCUCAUCGAUCCCAAUAUGAUCAGUGAUAAUACAAACUUCUUCAACAACCAUUCCCACACCUCCCCACAGCAUGUGCUCUGUAGCCAACAUAAAAGAUGAGCGUCUGUUCUCUAAUCACUUAAAGCUGUCCAUCGUACGGUUCAUCAGUCAGCUAUAAAAGUUGAUGGAACUCUGUUGAGUCGGCUGAAGGUGUGCAUUCCAGUGAUCGAGGGAUCAGUAAUGUGGCUGAUAACAGGCAUGAAAGAGCGGCUGGAUCCUCCUGAAAGAUUGAUCAGAGAACAUGAUAAUGCUGGUGAGCUCGACGUGAGAGGAGCUUGAAGAGGGACGCGCAAGGAAACGCGAGAAUGAAAGAAUCGUGUCAAGAUCGGGCAUCGUGCGAGGGGGAGGCAUGAAAUAGCGGACGAGGGUGUUCCAGUGGGUCGAGAAGGGGCUUUUCACCGAGCGACCGGAAGAAAGGGAAGGGCGACAUGGAGAAAUACGGGGUGGAACUCCCGAAACACGAGUGGAGCCAUAGGCUCAGUCUUCGUGCCAGUCGAAGAAGUCAUCAGGGCGAAGUGGCGGCUAGGUCCGUCGGCGGACCAGCGAGAAGCACCAGGAGGUGGGCCAGUUUGAGGCAGCACGUGAGCAGCAACGAUGGCGGCAAGCCUAAGGUCGAGCUACUGUUGGAUCCUCCGGGUUCCAAGUCGUCGACACCGUCUUCGCAGCCUCACACACCGAACACACCUAAGACGCCUCACACACCCCUGAGGAAGUCCAACUGGGAGGUGAUUGAGCACUUCACUGGUGCACCGCGUCCCUCCAUCAUCACGAUGAACCGAGGAUCGGAAAUCGGCGUUGGGCUAACCGGGAACAGCGUAGAGGCGACGCAGGAGGUGAACGUGAACACGCCUACCACUCAACCGGCCAGGAAAUGUGCCCUCUGUCGGUUUCUGAAAUCGUUGUGCGCCUCCCAUCGGUUCAAGAACUUGCAGGUGGAGAUGCUGUACCAACGCUACUUCCUGAGGAUGAAUCAGAGUAACACGACCCACGUGCUCGGCCUACUGGCAGGGCUGGCUCUGGCUCUAGGUCUGCUUUUAAUUCUGAGAAUCCUUCUGGAGGACAACCAACAGUUUUUCGUCACUCUUGAAAGACCUGAGAACCUGUCCUUGGCGGUCACCCUGCUCAUCUGCAUCAUGGUUUAUGCUGCAUUGGUAGCAGCCAUAUCAAGGCCAGGUAUGAAUGAGAUCUGGUUAGCUGGGGUCAGUGGGAUCGUCCUGGUGACGUUGUUAGCCCUUCAACUGGCCCUCAACAUCCACCUGGCCCUUGGAUCAAAGGAGCACCGAAGCGGAGGCCCCCUAGCUGCAGCCUGGGCUGUUUGUUUCUUCAUCUACAUGGCGUAUGCACUACUGCCCAUUCGCCUGCGACACGCUUGCAUCGCUGGCUUCAUCUUCUCAUUGGCGCACCUGAUCGGCGCUUUCGCUCUCUACCCUUCCCACUAUCCAGCUAUGAUGGAGCACUUGCUGAGCUCCAUCGUUGUGGUGGGUGGGACGAACAUGGCCGGUGUAUUAACGCACCAUCCUCGGGAAUUGGCGCAAAGGCAGGCGUUCCUCGAGACUAGACAAUGCGUCGAGGCGCGUCUAACCACACAGCGAGAAAACCAGCAACAGGAACGGCUCCUAUUGAGCGUGCUACCCAGACACGUAGCCAUGGAGAUGAAAGCCGACAUUGCUGGCAAGCCGAAGGAUACUAUGUUUCACAAGAUUUACAUUCAGAGACACGAGAAUGUCAGCAUCCUGUUCGCGGAUAUCUGCGGAUUCACCUCGCUGUCGGACCAGUGCACCGCCGAGGAGGUCGUCAGACUGUUGAACAAAUUGUUUGCUUGCUUCGAUACUCUGGCGGGUGAACAUCAUUGCCUGAGAAUCAAGCUGCUCGGGGAUUGCUAUUAUUGCGUCUCCGGGCUUCCAGAACCGAGACCCGAUCACGCCCGAUGCUGCGUGGAAAUGGGAUUGGACAUGAUCAGCGCAAUUACGCUUUAUCGAGAGGUGGGUGCCGUGAACGUGAACAUGAGAGUGGGGAUCCACACAGGCAGGGUUCAUUGCGGUGUCCUCGGUCUGAGGAAGUGGCAAUUCGACGUUUGGAGCAACGACGUCACCCUGGCCAACUACAUGGAGAGCGGCGGAAUACCAGGACGAGUCCACAUCACGAAGGAGACCCUGGACUGCCUCGGCGGUUACUACGAGGUCGAGGAGGGUCAAGGAGGGGAAAGAAACGCGUACCUGAAGGAGCACAAUAUCAAAACGUACCUGAUCAUCCCCGGGGACACGUACAAGGGUAACAUACCCUCUUCCGGGUUGAGGAAAGGUUUACCAGCGAACGGGAAUGUGUCGAAAGAGAUGAGGGUGAUGGGUCACGGUUCGCAGCGUGGAAAACAAGCCAAAUUGGGCUUUGGAGAGACGGCAGAGAGUAAAAAAGAUCCUGAAGACGAGGUGAACGAGUACCUGAUGAGAGCAAUCGACGCCAGGAGCAUAGAUCGAUUGAGGGCCGAAUAUUGUACACCUUUUAUUUUAACAUUUCGACGACCCGACGUCGAGGAAAAGUACUCGAGGGAAAGAGAUCGAAUGCUGUCCGCAUAUUUCGUGUGCUCUGGUUUCGUCUAUACGGUGGUCGUGAUUGCUAUAGCAAUCACUCUGUACGGGAGCGUAUACUUCUACACGUGCGUGGGAGUGAGUAUACUGUUGAUCGCCUCGAUCAAUGGGAUUCUCUUGGCGGAAAAGAACGAGAGGGUGCCACGAUGCCUUCGAAACUUCUCCGUGCACGUGUUCGAGAACCGUGGGGUCGCGCAAGCCCUGGCCACGUGUGUCGUCUUCCUCACCUUCGUCACGGCUCUCUCACCGCUGCUGACGCUCGAGGGUGGACGCGUUUGCAGCAACGGCACAUCGACGUUCCUCGAAUGGCCGGAUAAUUCCAGCGUCACCUUCCAGACCAUCGAUACGCCUGUCGAUGUCUGCUACUAUACCGUCUUCGCUGAUCUGUUCCCUGUGCUCGUGAUGCUGGUCAUGAUCACCUGUGCUGUCUAUCAAAUCCUGACAUCGGUGUUCAAAGUAGCUAUACUGAGUUUGGUGGUGGCCACCUACUUCGCCAUUAGCAUCCACGAGGCUUUGAACGAGAAGGACGUCGAACUAACUGGACGGUGGUUGGCAGGUGUUCUGGUGGUUUUCUUCAUGGCUUGCCUGGUCGCACACUCUCAACACACUGAGGCUACUUACAGACUGGACUUUCUGUGGAAGCUUCAAGCGACGGAGGAGAAGGAGGAAAUGGAGCACCUGAAGGCUUACAACCAGAAGCUCCUGGCGAACAUUCUCCCAGAACACGUGGCUGCUCACUUCCUCUCCACAGUGAACUCUGAUGAGCUGUACCACGAACAGUGCGACUUCGUUUGCAUAAUGUUCGCAUCGAUACCGAACUUUUCCGAGUUCUACGUGGAACUGGAAGCGAACAACGAGGGAGUCGAGUGUCUCAGGCUUUUAAACGAGAUCAUAGCCGACUUUGACGAGCUCCUCGCCGAGGAGCGGUUCAAAUACAUAGAGAAAAUCAAAAGCACCGGCGCCACGUACAUGGCCGCUUCCGGACUGACGAGGAGCGCCUGCGACAUGAAAGAUUACAAGCAUGUGACCGCGAUGGCGGAAUACGCGAUCAGGAUACGGGAACAGCUGGCCUCCGUUAAUGAACACAGCUUUAACAACUUCCGGUUGCGUGUGGGCAUCAAUAUUGGACCGGUCGUUGCCGGGGUGAUAGGCGCCCGAAAGCCGCAGUACGAUAUUUGGGGUAACGCGGUAAACGUGGCCUCGAGAAUGGAGUCGACCGGUGUCUUGGACGGGAUUCAGGUCACCCAGGAAGUCCGUGAUAUCCUGAUCGGUAAAGGAUAUCCUCUAACCUGUCGUGGCAGCAUUCAGGUGAAAGGCAAGGGCAGCAUGGUCACCUAUUUCCUCGAUGGACCUCGGAAUUCAACCGCCAACAACGAACUCAAGAUGAACAACGAUAACAAUGUGUGAACAAUUGCUCCUGGAACAAGCUAGAAAACGUUGAAAGUAAUCAAUUAAGUGAUCAAUGAAGUGUUUAAUGAAAAUUUAUAAAAUUCAACAUAGAGAUAUUGAAUGAUUGCUGAUGCAGUCUUUGAAAGACUUGGGUUACAUUUAUGUAGAAUGAAUUCCAUUUUUCCUCUUUCUACAGUUCUAUUAUUCUUCAGAUGAAUAUUGAACAAAAUGGAGAAUUAAACGCGAGAAACUGAAAUACUUUCUUCCACGUAUCUUAUCCAGAGUCACAGGAUACCUGUACUUAAAUCAUGAGGAAUGAUUUUCCGUGUGGUUUCUAUAGGGAGAUUUGCAUUUGCCGUGUCCACGGUUCUUCUAGUCAAUAAAAGGGAAAUAAAGGGCGGCAAGGGAAGCUCGAUACAACGAAACCGUGGCUGAAUUCUUCGUACGAGGGAUUCCUUUGAGAAAAGGAAACGGGACCACGGUGUGUUUUCGCGGAACGAAAGCAAAGGGAAUUUGAAAUUUUCGCGCGGUUGGAACGAGAAGCAAAGACUCGACUCUAUUUUUACAUUUCUCUCUCUGAAUCCGUCGACAGAAAGAUGGAUCUCGUAUUCUUUCGAUAUUCUAAGCAACAAUAAUUUAUUUAGGUUAAUUAGUGAUGUGCGGCCGAACUAUUCGGGUCGGUUCGGAAAACAUCGGGCGGCCGAUACAUACGUGCUGUCGGGUAGCGCGACUGUUUCGGGUCAGGUCGGAUAAAGUCGGGCAGAUUCGGACGAGCUCCCGCGAGCCGCGGUCCGCGGCCUGAUUCUUAUGUACUUGUUAAUCAGUGUUGGCAAUUCGAAUAUUUCCGAAUCCGUAGGUUGGCAUCAAAAUUUCUGUAGAAUUCCGGAGAUCUUGUUUUUAAAAGUCCGUAGAUCUACGGACUUUUCAAAUAGAAUAAAAACUUUGUUUUUGGGAGGACCAUUUUCAGCAAUAGAUACAUCAUUUUCAUUAUCAGAAUCACUGGUGUUCAUUUUAAAUAUUUUCUUUUUUGCUAAAUUUUUUCUCACGAAUUUAAAAUACCACAGCGAAUAAAAUGUAAAAAUGGCGUAUUAAAAAAUGGCUUAGCUGUUUGUGGAUCCGCCACAAGGUGAGAAGAAUAAUUACUAACAAUAAUAUAAUAGAUAUUUUCUGUUUUUAAAUUAUUUUCAAUAGGACCACAAGUUAUAAACUCAAAAAUUUGUACUAAAAAUAAUUACCUAUAAUUCAUUAUAAUAAAUAAUAAUUAAUUGCGAUAAUAAGUUAGUUUUGUACUCUAAAGUAUCCAAAAAAGUAAAUGAAUUUUCAUAGGAACUGAAUUCCGUAGAUUUUAACUAAAAUUCCGUAGAUCCGUAGAUGAUAAAAAAAUUCCGUAGAUCUACGGAAAAUUCCGAAGAAUUGGCAACACUGUUGUUAAUACUUGCAAUAAGCAUGCGCAAAAUCUGUUUUAUGUAGAAAAAUAAUACUUGCAACGAAUUUAUUUGAAAUGAAUUUCAUUCAAAUAGAUUUAGAACCGCGGCCCGCGGGAGCUCGUCCGAGUCUGCCCGACUUUAUCCGACCUGACCCGAAGUAGUCGCGGUACCCGACUGCGCGCAUGUAUCGGACAGCCGCCCGAGCGCGCCCGAAUUUUUCCGAGCCCGCCCGAGCCCGUAAUAUCUGGUACCCGCACAUCCCUAACGUUAAAGAAAAAUAUUUGUCCGCGCACAGGAUGUACGAGAAUGAAUACCGAUAACGUAAACGUAUUACUACGUUCCUUCGCAUAGUAUCGUGAUGAAUGUAACAAUUAGUCAAUUCAACUGGAACCUUGGCUUAUAGAGCGAGACUACAAUUAAAUGUUCAUAUUUUGAUGUUGCUGGCAGGUCCAGCUGUUAAUAGAUGUUAAUUCUACGUAAAAGACCAUGGGCCAUCAAUGAGAAUCAAAAUGAUAAUAUUACUAGAUCCUUUGAUCCUUCGUUAACCUAAUCAUAAUUGAAAAAUUAUCGUUGCUUUGUUGAGGUAUAUAGUUGCAAGCUCUAUUUUAUUGCCAUCAGCUCCCAGUUUUAGAACAUUCCACCAAUUUGCUGUGAUUAAUUCCCUGUUUUUCAUCCAUAAAACAAUCUCUUAUUAAACUGUAUUAAACGCACAAUUUUCUUUCUUGCGAAGAGAUCAAAGUGUCUGUAAAGGAAAGAAACAGAAAUCUUUCAGAACAUCAUAUCAAAAGUUAAAAUGUAUAGUCUUAUCAGAGCCUAAGGAUGUGUUAGCUUUUUAGGGAUUAUUCAAACAGGAAUUCAAAGGCUAUUAUUGGCCAGUGUUGUAGAAAUCCUUUGCCAACUUCUGUUUAACUUCUGGAAAAGAGAAGUUCUUUUUCUUAAAUGUUUCUGCAAUACUCGUCUAUAAUGGCAGAAUAAAACGGAGUCAAUUGGUGAGAAAGCAAGAAGGAGAGAAAUAUUUUGCCAACGAUCUAGUUACUCUAUCUCCAUCCUUCGUGUAAUCUCGAUGGCCUAAAUUGAACUUUAAGUCUCUACCGAACCAUGUCUGUACACCAUAGAAUAUAUUCGCGCGAUGUGAUUUGUCAGGAAUAUAAUGUGAAAUAAAUUUUUAAGAAAAGAAACGAACAAUCAAUCCACCUCCUUACAUUCUAAUUUCAAAUUCAAACGAGCUCCCUAACUUUGCGUCAUAUUCCAUCAGUGUUCACCUACCAUUCCUCUUCCCUGCUGUAUUUUUAGCAGUUCAGAGUUGGCACUGGUGUGUUACUAGCGCGGUCGAUAACAGUUCUCUGGUAAAAGAAUGGAAAAGCACGUGGUACGCCGUUUCUGCUAGCAUUCUCUUUCAGUUCACCGACUGUACGACAUGGUUUCAAGAGAUUCUGAUCAAUACAUCCACGGAACAUCGACUUGUAACAGAAAAACUCUUCCUUCUAAUGGCUAACAAUAGGUGAAAGGAAAGCCGAUCGUUUCGCGUCAUUUCUGCACAUUUUUCACGAUCUCAGCAGUCGUGAAAUCUUGAUGAGGAAUCAAAAGUGCAAGUAGUAUUAAACGCAGGCUUAAGUAUCGCACGCAACGAUGAUCACGUGAAACGAUCCAUCCAGAGUGAUCUCUUAGUAAUCACAAAACAAACAGC